This 457-nucleotide ribosomal RNA is filed under the name uncultured bacterium. RNAcentral describes it as "partial 16S ribosomal RNA". It matches the Rfam family "Bacterial small subunit ribosomal RNA", at positions 355 to 804 of the family's 1533-position model. The record is from RNAcentral.
UAGGGAAUCUUCCACAAUGGACGCAAGUCUGAUGGAGCAACGCCGCGUGAGUGAAGAAGGUUUUCGGACCGUAAAGCUCUGUUGUUGGUGAAGAAGGAUAGAGGUAGUAACUGGCCUUUAUUUGACGGUAAUCAACCAGAAAGUCACGGCUAACUACGUGCCAGCAGCCGCGGUAAUACGUAGGUGGCAAGCGUUGUCCGGAUUUAUUGGGCGUAAAGCGAGCGCAGGCGGAAGAAUAAGUCUGAUGUGAAAGCCCUCGGCUUAACCGAGGAAUUGCAUCGGAAACUGUUUUCUUGAGUGCAGAAGAGGAGAGUAGAACUCCAUGUGUAGCGGUGGAAUGCGUAGAUAUAUGGAAGAAUACCAGUGGCGAAGGCGGCUCUCUGGUCCUGCAACUGACGCUGAGGCUCGAAAGCAUGGUAGCGAACAGGAUUAGAUACCCUUGGUAGUCCAUGCCGUA